RNAcentral lists this ribosomal RNA (507 nucleotides) under uncultured bacterium. Its description in RNAcentral is "partial 16S ribosomal RNA". It matches the Rfam family "Bacterial small subunit ribosomal RNA", at positions 355 to 854 of the family's 1533-position model. The record is from RNAcentral.
UAGGGAAUCUUCCACAAUGGACGCAAGUCUGAUGGAGCAACGCCGCGUGAGUGAAGAAGGUCUUCGGAUCGUAAAGCUCUGUUGUUGGUGAAGAAGGAUAGAGGCAGUAACUGGUCUUUAUUUGACGGUAAUCAACCAGAAAGUCACGGCUAACUACGUGCCAGCAGCCGCGGUAAUACGUAGGUGGCAAGCGUUGUCCGGAUUUAUUGGGCGUAAAGCGAGCGCAGGCGGAAUGAUAAGUCUGAUGUGAAAGCCCACGGCUCAACCGUGGAACUGCAUCGGAAACUGUCAUUCUUGAGUGCAGAGNGGAGAGUGGAACUCCAUGUGUAGCGGUGGAAUGCGUAGAUAUAUGGAAGAACACCAGUGGCGAAGGCGGCUCUCUGGUCUGCAACUGACGCUGAGGCUCGAAAGCAUGGGUAGCGAACAGGAUUAGAUACCCUGGUAGUCCAUGCCGUAAACGAUGAGCGCUAGGUGUUGGGGACUUUCCGGUCCUCUGUGCCGGCAGCA